GACGAACGCUGGCGGCGUGGAUUAGGCAUGCAAGUCGAACGGUAUCAUCCUUUCGGGGGUGAGAGAGUGGCGAACUGGUGAGUAACACGUAGGUUAUCUACCCUCAAGACGGGGACAACCCAGGGAAACUUGGGCUAAUACCGGAUGUGAGCAACUUUUAGUUGUUUGAAAGGUGGCGUAAGCUGUCGCUUGGGGAUGAGCCUGCGUCCUAUUAGUUAGUUGGUGAGGUAACGGCUCACCUAGGCAAUGAUAGGUAGGCGGCCUUAACGGGUGGUCGCCCACACUGGGAUUGAGAUACGGCCCAGACUCCUACGGGAGGCAGCAGUCGAGAAUAGUCUACAAUGGUCGGAAGACUGAUAGUGCGACGCCGCGUAGAACGAUGAAUCCCUUCGGGUGUAAAGUUCUUUUAGUAUGUGAGCAGUGCUUCUUAUAUUAACAGUAUGGGGAGAGAGAUAUUAGCAUAUAGAAUAAGCAACGGUCUAACUCCGUGCCAGCAGCCGACGGU
Molecule: ribosomal RNA, 505 nt
Filed under: uncultured bacterium
Lineage: Bacteria
Description: bacterial SSU rRNA
Rfam family: Bacterial small subunit ribosomal RNA
Source: RNAcentral